RNAcentral lists this ribosomal RNA (253 nucleotides) under uncultured bacterium. RNAcentral's name for it is "partial 16S ribosomal RNA". It matches the Rfam family "Bacterial small subunit ribosomal RNA", at positions 524 to 776 of the family's 1533-position model. The record is from RNAcentral.
UACAGAGGGGGCAAGCGUUGUUCGGAAUUACUGGGCGUAAAGGGCGCGUAGGCGGCCGCCUAAGUCAGACGUGAAAUCCCUCGGCUCAACCGGGGAACUGCGUCUGAUACUGGGUGGCUUGAAUCCGGGAGAGGGAUGCGGAAUUCCAGGUGUAGCGGUGAAAUGCGUAGAUAUCGGGAGGAACAUCAGUGGCGAAGGCGGCCUUCUGGUCCAGUACUGACACUCAAGUGCGAAAGCGUGGGGAGCAAACAGG